This is a long non-coding RNA of Capsicum annuum, 624 nucleotides long. RefSeq lists it as uncharacterized. The record is from RefSeq and is a predicted model, not a curated record. NCBI's taxonomy places the organism in Eukaryota, Viridiplantae, Streptophyta, Magnoliopsida, Solanales, Solanaceae. The transcript has 3 exons.
CCCUAAAUGCUACUCUUAGUUCAUAACAAAUACCCGCCUCUUCAAGAUCGACCUUGUCCUCAAGGUCGAAGCUGAACGGUGAACUUAGGAAAUUGGCCCUCAAUAUAGCCCCAAUCUUCCCACGUGGCUUCAUCGGCACUCAAGUUCGACCAGAGAACAAGAACACGUACCACCGCUGCAUUGUUUCUUCUCUCGAUACGACGCUACAAGAUAGCCAAGGUUGGAUCAGUACACAUCCAUCCUCACCACAUGCCGGUAACUAGGAUUGGGACGAAAAUGGCGGGACCAAUUCGUUUCUUCAGCUGAGAUACAUGGAAAACGGGGUGGAGCUGAGCAUCAGCUAGUAAAGCAAGACGGUUUCAGAGGAAUGAAAUGUCUUCUGGGAGGCAGUGAAGUUGGUUACUCAAAUACAUCAGGGAACUCCUGUAUGAUUUGUUGUAUGGCUACAGGAAUCCACCCCGUCGAAGUAGGGAAACUCUACUUGAGAAGAGAAGUUACUGCCUUGGGUGCGCAUCCCAACCUCCGUGGGCUCGUCGAACCUGGACCUACUGUUGGACCCAGUACCAUGGAUUGGAUCUCCUGGGGCACUCCCCAAUAUCCCAUUUUGAGUUGGAAGAAGUUUCU